This 385-nucleotide ribosomal RNA is filed under the name uncultured bacterium. RNAcentral's name for it is "bacterial SSU rRNA". It matches the Rfam family "Bacterial small subunit ribosomal RNA", at positions 29 to 416 of the family's 1533-position model. The record is from RNAcentral.
AUUGAACGCUGGCGGCAUGCCUUACACAUGCAAGUCGAACGGCAGCACGGGGCAACCUGGUGGCGAGUGGCGAACGGGUGAGUAAUGCAUCGGAACGUGCCAUUGAGUGGGGGAUAACGUAGCGAAAGUUGCGCUAAUACCGCAUAUUCUGUGAGCAGGAAAGCAGGGGAUCGCAAGACCUUGCGCUCUGGGAGCGGCCGAUGUCGGAUUAGCUAGUUGGUGGGGUAAAGGCCUACCAAGGCGACGAUCCGUAGCGGGUCUGAGAGGAUGAUCCGCCACACUGGGACUGAGACACGGCCCAGACUCCUACGGGAGGCAGCAGUGGGGGAAUUUUGGACAAUGGGCGAAAGCCUGAUCCAGCCAUGCCGCGUGAGUGAAGAAGGCC